This 6323-nucleotide long non-coding RNA is filed under the name Heterocephalus glaber (naked mole-rat). Its description in RNAcentral is "lncRNA (ENSHGLG00100047434.1)". The record is from RNAcentral. Lineage: Eukaryota; Metazoa; Chordata; Mammalia; Rodentia; Bathyergidae.
CUGAGGCGGCGGGCGCCGGGCAGGCGGGAAAAGGUGACAUCGCGAGGAACGACGGUCACGGCCGGGCAGGGCCACGCCAGCCUCGUCCCCUUCGGGUUGAGAUCUCGGGUUUGUCAGCGGUUCCCUGGGAGAACAGGUGAUGUGUGGACCUCAGGACUCUACCGAAGUUCUCUGGCCAGGAGCAGAAGGGGAGCUGAGGGGCUGCCCUCAUCCCUGUGCUCUUCUGGGGGCUCCCGGAGGGAGGUGAGUCCCCAGCCCAUGCUGCCCCCCUGGUCCAGGUCCAGGGGCCAAACUGCCCUGGGUCUCCCCCACAGCAUAGCUCAGGCUUGAUACCUACACCUCGCAUCCUGCUGCCCCCAUGCCCACCCCCGCUACGGGCCUCCCCGCCCACGGGCCCCGUCCUGUCCAGGGACAUUUCUUCUGUGGCCUUGACCCAUUCGAACAGCUCCAAGUUUAGCCCCACUCAGCCCUGGAAAGAGGGACACGGUGGAGAAUUUCGGGCCAUUUCCCCCCCAGACCUCUGGCAGUUUUUGUUCCUGAACGUGACUGAGGUCAUACUUGCACUCAGUAUCCAUCCAGGCUUGUUCCCUCUUCUGUGAGUUCAUUCGUUUAUUCUUCCAAGCUGUAGGGGCAGGACGGUAGGUAGCCCCAGCAGACGGGAGUGGAGUGAACAUAGAUGGGGUAGAGAGAGCUGCACUGUGACCCCACUGACCUUCUACGGGGCGACAGCCAGAUGUGCACAGCAGCCUCUCCGGGAUGAGGAUGUUUACUGCAGCGCAACCUCUCAGGUUCUAGAACCUUCCACAGUGUCACCAUGUCUCCAGUGUCUCCCCUCCUUUCCAAAUACGGCACUCUUGCCCUGGAGUUUUCAGCCAGAAGCAAAUUACUUCCUAUGGAAAAGACAGAUCCUAGAAUGUGAGUCUGGGGCUUUUGUUCAUUCCUUUGGCCGGGAUUACCUAUUUUUACAAUAAUCAUGCGUUAUUUUUAUAUUCAUCACAAUAGGAAACUUCCCAGUUUGGGAAGAGAGAUGCCAGGGAGUGGUGUUUCCCUGCAGGAAGCAGAGGCAGGUCAGUGCAUGGACAGGGCCGGGCCAGGCCGCACAGACUCUUGGCCAAUGUGGCCCUGUGUACAGCUCCCUCAGUCUCCCCACCGGCCACGCCCAGCCGGCUGCCCUGUCCUCAGCCCCUCAGCGCCACUUCCUAUUAAUACAAGCCGCGUGGGCCCCUCGCUGUGGUGUCUCCAGGCAGAAAAGGAAGCCACAGCCGCCUAGUGGCUGCCAAGGAGGCCGGCAGGAAGGGGCAUCUCCACCAGGCGUCUCCUGGGAAACAGCGAGCUCCCCAGAGAAGGGACAUUUGGAAACAAAACUCCUGCCUGUGUUGUGUGCUUCACGUGUGUUGGGUGGGAGAGGCGCUGAGAAGCCUCCUCGGCCCCCCAACUCCUGUCUCCUCAGGGAAGCCUUCUCAGCGCCUCUCCUCACUCCCUCCCCACUUGGGCUCUGCUGGGACUGGAAAGUGGCCCAGAAAGUGGCCUUCAGUUUAGGGUGCAGCUGGAAGGGGAGAGCCCUGGGCCCAGAGUCUGAGGCCCCACUUCGGGCUUCUCUGCCUCCCCUGUCACCCCCCCCUGCCUAUUGCACCCCCUUUCCCAGUCCUCGGUUGUUCCUUUGCAAAGUGAGGGUGCGGAUGAGAUCACCCCAUCGCUCCCCACCCUCCCGGGGGUCCUCCACAGGCCACGCCUUCCCACCCUUGGGAUGGACGCCCCACAGGAGCUCAGGGCUCCUUGUGUGACCUGACUGGUGGCCCAGCCUGGGCUGGCUUGGCCCUCGCGCCUGGUGCGCCUGGGUAUUUGAGGGUCCAUGGAGAACUGCAGAGGCUUUGGGGGUCUCCAGGCCCCAGGCCUGAGGCUCUCUCUUGCUGUCCUGCACCAGGGGCCACUGCCUGCCACAUCUCCUCAGUGGCGACCCCUUCUCAAAGGACCCUCUUCAUAGUGUCCUGAGCCACGCUCAGGGAGCAGCACCAAACCACCUGGGAAACGGGAGUGGGUGACAGCCCUGUGCCCCUAACUCACCCGCGCCCUUUGCCAUCCUUUGCUCUUGAGGGACCGAGCCCCAUCCACGCUCAGCAAGCCCGACCUCCCCAGUAAAGUGCAAAUGGCAAGGGGAUGAGCAGUAAAAAGAAUAGAGAUGUGGGGCUGGGGUGUAGCUCAGUGGCGCCCGCACCUGCUCGGCAGGCGCAAGGUCCUGAGUUCAAACCCAGGUGCCAGAAAAGAUAAUAAUAAUAGAGAUGUGUUCUGUGCAUGUACCAACUCCUCACAAGGAAUGUAAUCGUGGUGUACUGCAGGCAUGGAAUAAUAAAUUUUUUAAUGAGAUACUAAAAAUAGGGGUUGGGGGACUUUGGACUCCCCAGACGGAGUCAGAGAUGCCCAAGUGCAAGCCCUCUCCCUGAUCUUACCACCUAGAGACCCCUUCCGCAGGAGUCCCCCCCCUUGUGGGCAGGGCAGAGGUUGAUUGAGAGCUCCCCAUGCAGAAACAGCCGCCGCUCUGAGGAAGCCCUGGCCACAGGGGUGGGGAAUGGGAGGCAGAAGCGCGUGGGGAGGGUACAGAUCCCAACUCUCCUUGUCACCUUUGUCCUGGGGGCCUACCGUGCAUUGUGCCGGGCGUGGGCUCUGUCCACUUUGACCUAGACUAUGGCGCUCUGUCCCCACCCCAGGCGCCAAACCUGGAGCUAUCCUUCCACUCUGACAGAGGAGGAAGCUGAGACUCAGGCGUUGUGUGGCUUGGCCAAGGUCACACAGGGCCUUGUCAGGACCGGCCAGGAUCCCAGCCCAGGCUGGCGCCCUCAGUGGGUUCUCCCCGCUGCCAGAGAGCAGGUCUGGAGUUGGGGUUUCAGUCAGAGCUGUCCGAUCCCCACAGAGAAUCUAUUGUCAUCUGCCCUUCCCUCCUCACCCAUCUGCCAGGCAAGUCGCAGGUGAGGCCCCGCCAUGGCCCCUGCCUGGUGCUCCCAAGGUGGCUCUGAGGUCACCCACACCCCAGAGCCUGCUUUCUGUGCCUCCACAUCUCUGAACAUUUGGGGAAAGCAGGACAGGAGAGGUCACUUGAAGGUUGGAAGUAGGGCUCAGGUUAUGGUCCAGGGAUUGGGGGGCCUGGCUGUCUCCCCACCCGCAGGAACCCUUCCCCCACACCACCCCCUCACCCCAGAGACAGCCCAAGCUUUGCUUAGUUAAUGAAAUACAAAGGAGGAACCAGGGCUGGGGGGUGGCUCCAAAGCCCCUGGAAAGCGAAGGGAGAGAGGGAAAGUUGGGUCUCUUCCAAAGAGUUAAUGUUCCACAGUAUGAUCGAUUAGGUGUCAGAUGUAAUUUCAAACCAAUACAAGAUGAAUGGCAUAAUUUUCCCUCUCUCAUUUUAGACAGAAUUAAGAAUCCAUUAGCUAACACAAAUUUUUGGCAAGUUUAAUAGGAGCUCAAAUCUACAUUUGGAGGAAACGCUCCCCAAAGCUGGUUUUGGGCUCUGACUUCCUGGGCCCCCUUCCUCCAGCUUCCUCCACUCCUCGCAGGUCCCCGAGUCCCCAGCCCCAGCCCGGGAGGUGCAGUGGCCUGAACCCCAGAGGCCCCCCCACACCGUUGGCUCCCAGCCUGUGGGAGAGGGGAGGGCAGCUGCCUCCAGGAAAGGGGGCCGUGCUGGCCCCCGACCGCACCGACCCUAUGGAGAGGGCUGAGGGGGGCACCCGGCCAUUGGCAUCACAGCUACUCUUCAUUCUCACCCGGAAGGAGGAGCUGUUUCUGUCUCCAACAAAGCAUCACCCAGUUCACGGGCACAAGCCCAGGCUCGACUUCUGUCACGUUUACACACACCAGUCCACGUGCCAUACCUGAGGGGUGGGGAGAUCACUGCACGCCCCAUUGCAUACCAAGGAAACUGAGGCCAGGAGGAGUUGUCAGAGUCAGCUGGGCCAAGAGGGCUGUGGCUCUGCUCACUAGAGCCCUGAGGCAUCAACCUCUGUGCCUCAGUUUCCUCAUCUGUAAAAUCGAAAGGCUCCUGGCCAGGCAUGGUUGUGCAGGCCUAUAACCCCAGCAUUGGGGAGGCCGAGGCAGGUGGAUCGCUGGGAAUGUGAGGCCAGCCUGGGCUAUAUAGUGAGUUCAAGGCCGGCCUGAACUACAUUGUGAGACCCUGUCUCUAAACAAUAAAUGAAUUGGGCCGGGGAUUUAGUUCAGUAGUUUCACCACCUGCUACACAAGUGCAAAGGACCUGAGUUUGAUCCCCAGUACCAAAAAACAAAAAAAUUAACCAAACAAAUAAAUUAAUUUAAAAAAUAAAGACAGCAUUCAUGUCUGUCCAGUAGAAGGACCAAGUGUUUACUCUGUGCCGGCCUUUUCCCUGACCCCCAGACUGCACAGCCUGGUGGAGAGACAGCGGUGUAGACGGAACCCUGCCCUGAAAGGCGAGAGAGGCCGGAGGGGUAAUUCCAGCUGCUGACCCCUUCCCAGGCAUCCACUCAUGGCCAGAGGGGGAGCCGAGUCUUUCCGCAUGGUAACCUUGAUGCACCUUCCAGCAGCCUGCUCAGAAAGUGCUGUCAUCACACCCAGUUUCCGGAUGAGGAGAGGAAGCUGGGACUCAUGGCACAAUGGGAGCUCCAGCCCAGACAGCCUGGGCCCAAGGCCGUGGUGGGCGGGAGAUCGGCACAAAGACCUGACUGAUGAGCAGGAGUCUGCCAGGUGGGCAAGAGCAUGCUGGGAGCAAGAACAGCGUGAGCAAGGUCACAGGAAGAAGCCUCAGCACGCGGGCGGUGAGUAACACUGUUGACGGGUGUCGCCGCUGCUCCUGUGGAGGAUGGCAGAGGACAAGCUUGCAGGAAAGCUGCGAAGUCCUUCCUGUGCCUGCCUCCUGUGUUCAGGCUACAGCUUCAUCCGCUGUCCGACAGCAGGCGCUGGGCUAGGGAUGCAUCUCUGCGGUAGAAUGUCACCCAGCACGUGCCAGGCCCCAGGUUUGAUCCCCAGCACCGCAAAUAAUGAUAGGCACAGCCAGCCUCUCCCCAGGCCAAAGGCUUUCUCUUGGUCCCUUAUACUUUGUAGCGAUAAGCUCUGUUGCCCCAUUUUCAGGUGAGUCACCUGAGGCUAGAACAUGCACAUUAACUUGGCUCAAAGAGACAGAGUCAGAGCCAAACUGCAGGCCCAGACCUGACGCCAGAGCCCGCUGUGUCCUCAAAGACAUCAGGGGACCUGGGAGGAAUUUUCAGCUGUCCGCUGCUUUAUAGGAAGAAUGUUGGCAGGGCAGAGAGGUCAGAUUGGAGCAGGGUGAGACCAGAGAUGGGAAGGCAGAAGGAAGCCUCAGCCCUGGUCUGGGUGAAAGUUGCCAGGCGUGGUGGAACACACCUGUGAUCUCACCACUCACCAGGCGGAGCAGGAGAAUUACUGCAAGUUUGAGACCAGCCAGGGCUACAUCAGUGACUUCAAGGCUAGUCUGAACUACAGAGCCAGACCCUGUCUCACACCCACACACACACCCAUUUAGCAGAUAAGAGGGCUGAGGUUUGGAGGGCUGGACCCUGCACCCCUGCACCUAGGUUCAGCUCUGCCCUCCUGACCUGGCCAAUGCUCCCUGAGAGGGCCAGGCAUGGUGGGGCACACACAUCUGUCAUACCAGCACUCGGGAGGCUGAGGCAGGAGGACCGCCUGAGCGCAAGGUCAGCCUGAACUAUAUGGAGAUGCUGUCUCAAAAACAAACAAAUCUCCUGUUUUGUAUAUGGACCCGCUUUUCUGUUUUAACCCAGCAAAAGGGCCCUGAGGGAGGCAGGGGAAGGGCCUGAGGGGGAGAGAAGGGAAGUGGGGUUGGAGGUCCUGUUAGCACCUGCUGCUAACUGCUGGGAGCCGGCAGGAAGACGUUCAGGAGGGGCGGUGUUUGGUUCUCUAAGUCCUGAAGAGAAGACCCUCAUCCCUUUACUUGGUUUCUCCACUUUUUUUUGUACCGGGAUCGAACUCAGGUCCUUGUGCUUGCAGGGCAGGUGGUACAGGUUCCUCCACUCUUAGGCAGCCCCUCCUACUGUCUAACUCUAUCUUUCCUAAUGGAGUCACAAAGAACCCCAGGUACCCACUUUCAGAAAGCUUCUGGAGGGCAUGAUGGUCCACACCCAUAACCCCAGCACUUUGGGAGGCUGAGACAGGAGGAGCGCCAAGGGUCCUGCCUGGACAGGUUAGUGAGACCCUGCCUCAGAAUUAUAAAUGGACAGAUGGAUGGAUGGAUGGAUGGGAGGAAGAAAGGAAGGAAGGAAGGAAGGAGAAAAAGAGAAAAAGAAAGAAGGAAAGAAAGAGAAAGAAAGAAAGAAAGAAAGAAA